Long non-coding RNA from Theobroma cacao (cacao), 791 nucleotides. RefSeq lists it as uncharacterized. The record is from RefSeq and is a predicted model, not a curated record. NCBI's taxonomy places the organism in Eukaryota, Viridiplantae, Streptophyta, Magnoliopsida, Malvales, Malvaceae.
GAGGGGUAAGAAGAAACAGCUAUACAGCUCAUUGCCGACCCCCCAUUAUUUAUUUUAUCAAACCCUAAGCUCUAUAUAACCCUUCUUAUUACCUUGUUUGUAUUACUGAAGGUGCCCUCGGUAGGUGAAGGGUCGUAAAUUUGGGGUUUUCCUUUCUCCUACGGGUGUCUGCAACGGUUGAAGACUUGGAUUUUAGGGUUUACUGGACACUUCCUGUAGGUGAAGUAGGGUUAAGGGAGGGGUAUAGUUGCUGGUCCGGCUGUCGUAAGAAGUCAAUAUGCCUUUGCUUGAGACUUGGGUCUCUAAGAUUUGAACCACUACUUGCUGGGGUUGCGGAUUUUGCUGGAUGAAGCCUUUCUACUUCUAGCCAAAAUUAGACUGUCAGAAAAUCUUGUGGUUAGAUUAUGCUGCUGUGGUUUCAAAAUUCAAACCACACAUUCAAGAGAGAGAGAGGGUUUUGCCUAUUGUACUUUAUUGAUAAAAAAAUGGCAUGAGAAGCUUUAUCUAGCUAGUACUUUCUGCCCUGCUGAGUAGCUUUAAUGUCUGUGAAGUUGUACUGGUAUGCUUAACGGGAAAACUAUAUGGUAAUCCAACUUCUUCGCAGGCUGAAAGGAAAUUGAUCUUCUGGUAAAUGUUGGUUUUCUAUGUUUACUUUGUUCCUUAAUAUAAAAAAGGAAUAUAAAUAGUUUUAUUCUUGGCAACUAAAGGGUGGAAAUUAAUGUUUGAGUUUGGUUUAGGCAGGUCAUUGACUUGGGAUUGUGUUAUUAUUACAUCAGAUAUUUUCUCUGGCA